GACAGAGGUUGCAAACGUUGUUCGGAAUCACUGGGCAUAAAGCGCACGUAGGCGGUCUGUUAAGUCAGGUGUGAAAGCCCCCGGCUCAACCGGGGAAUUGCAUUUGAUACUGGCAGGCUCGAGAACGGUAGGGGUGAGUGGAACUCCAGGUGGAGCGGUGAAAUGCGUAGAUAUCAAGAGGAACACCUGAGGCGAAGGCGGGUUGCUAGGCUGACACUGACGCUGAGUGCGCGAAAGCCAGGGGAGCAAACGGG
RNAcentral lists this ribosomal RNA (254 nucleotides) under uncultured bacterium. RNAcentral describes it as "partial 16S ribosomal RNA". It matches the Rfam family "Bacterial small subunit ribosomal RNA", at positions 524 to 776 of the family's 1533-position model. The record is from RNAcentral.